GAACGAGAAAGUGGAGCAAUCCAUGAGUAAAGUGGCGACCGGGUGAGUAACACGUGACUAACCUACCUCCGAGUGGGGAAUAACUCCGGGAAACCGGGGCUAAUACCGCAUAACAUCGCAAGAUCAAAGCAGCAAUGCGCUUGGAGAGGGGGUCGCGGCUGAUUAGCUAGUUGGCGGGGUAACGGCCCACCAAGGCGAAGAUCGGUAUCCGGCCUGAGAGGGCGCACGGACACACUGGAACUGAAACACGGUCCAGACUCCUACGGGAGGCAGCAGUGGGGAAUUUUGCGCAAUGGGGGAAACCCUGACGCAGCAACGCCGCGUGGAGGAUGAAGCCCUUUGGGGCGUAAACUCCUUUCGACCAAGACGAUAAUGACGGUACUGGUGGAAGAAGCACCGGCUAACUCUGUG
This 411-nucleotide ribosomal RNA is filed under the name uncultured bacterium. RNAcentral's name for it is "bacterial SSU rRNA". It matches the Rfam family "Bacterial small subunit ribosomal RNA", at positions 64 to 507 of the family's 1533-position model. The record is from RNAcentral.